AGAGAGUUCACAGCAGGUUUUGCACUCAUCUCUAUGCUCCUCAGAACAUCGGGUGGGAUAAUUGCCCUUUGAGUUAUAUAUACCACUCAGCUUAGCCCUAGGAAAGAAGCUUGGGUCUCUGUCUACUUCUGACUAAAGGCUUUGCUGAAGUUCCUCAGUAUCCCAAAGCCUAACAGUUCUCUGGAGAAGGCUGCCAGGAGGAUUACUGCUGUACACCUUGAUAAUGGGAAAUGAAAUCAGCCACGAGAGGUAUUGCAGAAGGUCUGGGAAGCCUGAAAGGCAAGAAGCUGAGCAAGAAAAGGCAGAAGCUGAUCUUUCUACUGCUCAGAAGCCUCUACCGGGGAGCAGUGAGAAUCCUCUUCCAGAGGAGAAAUCACAGGAUGCUGCUGUGGGGAUGCAGAACGAAGAUCCAGAAAGUGAAACAGCUUUAUCUUCCCUGCAACACAUGCAGAAGUCUGUGCCACAGAUAGCAGUGCAAAGCACAGAGCUGCAAGACCGUGGUGAGACUCAGCCCUUUGUGCAAGAGCCAGAAGAGACUGAAACUGAGCCUGCUGUGGUGAGUCCAGACAUGCUAAUGUGUGUUCCAACUCAGGAGAGGGCUGCAACAGCUCAGCCAGCUGUAGGAGAGACAAAAACUGACCUGGCUCUGCAGGCUGCUGGGGAGGUGGGAGAUAGAGAGGCAGAAGAUGUGGUGAUCAACCAGGCAGCAGUGGAAAAACACUCAGUGGUGCACAAGAGACCAAGUGGAAAGCUGUGCAAGCCAAGUCCUCUCUGCAGGUGGCUGAAGAAACUCCAGUCCUCUGCUGAGAAGAAGUAAGGUCAGGACUGAAGCAAUUGCUAGUCAAGUGUGAGGCUUCCUAUGAACUAUCAAAGGACUGUUAAGUGUUUCCUGGGACUGGAGAGAAAAAAAAAAGACUAAGAAUUAAAGUAGAAAGAAAAUAUUUUGUCAUCUUCAAGCUGUGUGUCUGCUGUGUGGUUCUGGCUGUUGUAAAGGCCUGGGUGCAGCACAGAGGGUAUCCCAGCUGGAUGUGAGAGAAAGGGGAACCUGAAUGGCUCUGAUCCCCCUCUGAUCUGCAACUUGUGAGCUUGGCUGUUCCUGUUGCUCACUGGGCUCUGUCUUUAAUAGCCUUCUUUCUGAACCUAUGUAGAAGUGCAGUGUACAAAUCUCUAUCUUUGUGGUGCUUCCCACCAUUUGACUUCCUUCCACUUGCUUUUAAUAACUUGUUCUGUCUGAUAGACCAAGCUUAGUGCAUUAGUAUUAUCAAGCUAAAUAAAUACCUUUAUAAAAACACUAAAUGUUUACAAAUGUGUAAUGUUAAUAGUGGGUGUUGUGUGGGAGGGUUGGUAAACAAGGGGCUCUUGUUUUGCUACUAGAAUUGAUUGCUUUGUGUGUAUUUUUAAUGUUUGCAAGUCAAUAAAAGCUAGUUUUAUUGCCUCAAAUGAAGCAUUGACUACAAGUGAAAGGGCUUUAAGGGAGGGAGGAGAAAUGGGAUGCUAUAGCCUAUCCUCAGCUGCAGAUGAUGAUACAACAAGGAGGGCUCCCUGCUGAGCAGGAGAAGCAUGGAAGCCAACAGCUUAUACUUUGGUUACCAUGGGGCUGCCUCCAGGAAGAGGUAAGGAUGUAUAGUCUGCCCAAUGGCCUUCAGCUUGAUUACUGUGCCAUCUGUGUGGUUCAUGUCACAGAACUGACCUAUGUGUGUCUGCACUACUGCAGAGCAAGGUCACCUACAAACACUAGGCCUUGCUCUGUUAAAGAAACCAGCUGGUAAAAAUUCUCCUGGGAGAUUCAGAGAAAACAACCACUGAGAAGCUGACUUGUAGGCAAAGACAGCGAGCGGGCUGCAGGGGCUGUGCUAGAAGCAUCCCAACCUGCCUUCAAAAAGCAGGGAGGGCCAAUGUAUCCUCCAGGAAAGCUAAUGAGCAAACAGCCUGCACUCCUGAAACUUACCGCCAGCUUCCCAUGCCUGAGGUAGCUAUGCUGCUGUUCCCUGAGUGUAACCCUCCAAUUGCUGUUCAUGAAUAAAACACUGC
Molecule: long non-coding RNA, 2031 nt
Filed under: Gallus gallus (chicken)
Lineage: Eukaryota; Metazoa; Chordata; Aves; Galliformes; Phasianidae
Description: lncRNA (ENSGALG00010026200.1)
Source: RNAcentral